UUAUGGUUGAUCCUGCCGGACCUGCCUGCUAUCGGAUUGAUACUAAGCCAUGCGAGUCUUUGUAGCAAUACAAGGCAGACGGCUCAGUAACACGUAGUCAAUCUACCCUAUAUACGGGGAUAACCUCGGGAAACUGAGAAUAAUACCCGAUAGGUCAUUAUGCCUGGAAUGGUUUAUGAUUAAGAUGACUUUUCGCUGUAGGAUGGGACUGCGGUCUAUCAGCUUGUUGGUGAGGUAAUGGCCCACCAAGGCUAUUACAGAUACGGGCUCUGAGAGGAGAGGCCCGGAGAUGGGUACUGAGACACGGACCCAGGCCCUAUGGGGCGCAGCAGGCGAGAAAACUUUGCAAUGUGCGAAAGCACGACGUGGUUAAUCCGAGUGUUUUCUGUUUAAGAAAUCUUUUGUCAGUCCUAGAAACACUAACGAAUAAGGGGUGGGCAAGUUCUGGUGUCAGCCGCCGCGGUAAAACCAGCACCUCAAGUGGUCAGGAUGAUUAUUGGGCCUAAAGCAUCCGUAGCCUGCUUGUAAGUUUUCGGUUAAAUCCAUAUGCUCAACAUAUGGGUUGACGGGAAUACUGCACAGCUAGGGAGUGGGAGAGGUAGACGGUACUCGGUAGGAAGGGGUAAAAUCCUUUGAUCUAUUGAUGACCACCUGUGGCGAAGGCGGUCUACCAGAACACGUCCGACGGUGAGGGAUGAAAGCUGGGGGAGCAAACCGGAUUAGAUACCCGGGUAGCCCCAGCUGUAAACUAUGCAAACUCGGUGAUGCGUUGGCUUGUAGCUAGCGCAGUGCCGCAGGGAAGCCGUUAAGUUUGCCGGCUGGGAAGUACGUGCGCAAGUAUGAAACUUAAAGGAAU
RNAcentral lists this ribosomal RNA (856 nucleotides) under uncultured crenarchaeote. RNAcentral's name for it is "bacterial SSU rRNA". It matches the Rfam family "Archaeal small subunit ribosomal RNA", at positions 1 to 865 of the family's 1478-position model. The record is from RNAcentral. Lineage: Archaea; Thermoproteati; Thermoproteota.